This 29-nucleotide non-coding RNA is filed under the name Mus musculus (house mouse). Lineage: Eukaryota; Metazoa; Chordata; Mammalia; Rodentia; Muridae. The record is from RNAcentral.
UAAUUUUAAAGAGUUCCUUCCAUGAAUGC